GAUGAAGAACGUAGCGAAAUGCGAUACGUAAUGUGAAUUGCAGAAUUCAGUGAAUCAUCGAAUCUUUGAACGCAUAUUGCGCUCUCUGGUAUUCCGGAGAGCAUGCUUGUUUGAGUAUCAGUAAACACCUCAACUUCCAUAUCUUUUUUGGAAUGGGAGUUGGACUUGAGUGAUCCCAACGCUUUUCCUCACCGAAAAGUGGCGGGUUACUUGAAAUGCAGGUGCAGCUGGACUUUUCUCUGAGCUAUAAGCAUAUCUAUUUAGUCUGCCUAAAAAACAGAUUAUUACCUUUGCUGCAGCUAACAUAAAGGAGAUUAGUUCUUGUGCUGACUGAUGCAGGAUUCACAAAGACGGCUUCGGCCGACUUUGUAAACUCGAUCUCAAAUCAAGUAAGACUACCCGCUGAACUUAAGCAUAUCAAUAAGCGGAGGA
Molecule: unclassified non-coding RNA, 432 nt
Filed under: soil metagenome
Description: partial contains 5.8S ribosomal RNA, internal transcribed spacer 2, and large subunit ribosomal RNA
Rfam family: 5.8S ribosomal RNA (bases 1-120)
Source: RNAcentral